GAUGAACGCUGGCGGCGUGCCUAAUACAUGCAAGUAGAACGCUGAAGGAGGAGCUUGCUCUUCUGGAUGAGUUGCGAACGGGUGAGUAACGCGUAGGUAACCUGCCUGUAGCGGGGGAUAACUAUUGGAAACGAUAGCUAAUACCGCAUGACAACAGUUAUUGCAUGAUAACUGUUUAAAAGGGGCAACUGCUCCACUACCAGAUGGACCUGCGUUGUAUUAGCUAGUUGGUGAGGUAACGGCUCACCAAGGCGACGAUACAUAGCCGACCUGAGAGGGUGAUCGGCAACAAUGGGACGAAGACAGGGCACAGACUUCCCAGGGAGGCAGCAGUAAGGAAUCUUCGGCAAUGGACGGAAGUCGGACGGAGCGAAGCCGCGCGAGUGACGCAGGGUUUCGGAUCGUAAAGCUCUGUUUUAAGAGAAGAACGAGUGUGCGCUUGGACCGUCCACACUGCGACGGUCCCUUACCAGAAAGCAACGGCUAACUACGUC
Molecule: ribosomal RNA, 494 nt
Filed under: uncultured bacterium
Lineage: Bacteria
Description: partial 16S ribosomal RNA
Rfam family: Bacterial small subunit ribosomal RNA
Source: RNAcentral